GACGAACGCUGGCGGCGUGCUUAACACAUGCAAGUCGAACGGAAAGGCCCCUUUGGGGGUACUCGAGUGGCGAACGGGUGAGUAAUACGUGAGUAACCUGCCCUUGACUUCGGGAUAACUUCAGGAAACUGGGGCUAAUACCGGAUAGGAAUCCUUGCUGCAUGGUGGGGGUUGGAAAGCUUGGGCGGUUUUGGAUGGACUCGCGGCUUAUCAGCUUGUUGGUGGGGUAGUGGCUUACCAAGGCUUUGACGGGUAGCCGGCCUGAGAGGGCGACCGGCCACAUUGGGACUGAGAGACGGCCCAGACUCCUACGGGAGGCAGCAGUGGGGAAGAUUGCACAAUGGGCGGAAGCCUGAUGCAGCAACGCCGCGUGCGGGAUGACGGCCUUCGGGUUGUAAACCGCUUUCAGCAGGGGCGAAGCUUGUGGUGACGGUACCUGCAGAAGAAGCACCGGCUAACUACGUG
This 465-nucleotide ribosomal RNA is filed under the name uncultured bacterium. Its description in RNAcentral is "partial 16S ribosomal RNA". It matches the Rfam family "Bacterial small subunit ribosomal RNA", at positions 28 to 507 of the family's 1533-position model. The record is from RNAcentral.